GUAAGCCGUGUGCGGGAAAUCCGCACGCACGGUUUGAACGGGGGUCUUGACCAACCGCCGGC
Non-coding RNA from Sandaracinus amylolyticus, 62 nucleotides. Lineage: Bacteria; Pseudomonadati; Myxococcota; Polyangiales; Sandaracinaceae. The record is from Rfam.